RNAcentral lists this unclassified non-coding RNA (381 nucleotides) under Hevea brasiliensis (rubber tree). The record is from RNAcentral. Lineage: Eukaryota; Viridiplantae; Streptophyta; Magnoliopsida; Malpighiales; Euphorbiaceae.
GAAAGCCUUUACUACAUCUUGGGCAGACAUCGACUGUCAAGUUCAUGACAUCGUUUUUUUCAUGGACUUUUUGUACGUGGCUCACGAGAGCUGUGACUGAAGAGAAUCUAAGAGUGCAUUGCGGGCAUUGCUCAACUUGCCUGUUAGCACUCCCACUAUGGUUUGUGGCAUUGCUGCUUUGGCCCCUUCCGCUGCCUAAUUUUGCCAUUCCAGCUUCAGCUGCCUUGAAGAAUGAUGAGGCCCAACUAGAGGAUGACGUGGCUGGAGCUUUAUUAGGCUCGCCAUUUCUACUGCCAGUGCGAAAGUUCAUAAAGGAGAAUGCUGCUUCUGGUUUCUUACGUCCAGGACAUUUGUGAUCAGGUCCAAAACGAUGCUUCAAAC